Molecule: ribosomal RNA, 961 nt
Filed under: uncultured Bacteroidota bacterium
Lineage: Bacteria; Pseudomonadati; Bacteroidota
Description: bacterial SSU rRNA
Source: RNAcentral
GAGUUUGAUCAUGGCUCAGGAUGAACGCUAGCGGCAGGCUUAAUACAUGCAAGUCGAGGGGCAGCAGCUUUAUAGCAAUAUAGAGGCUGGCGACCGGCAAACGGGUGCGGAACACGUACACAACCUUCCUUGAAUAGGGGGAUAGCCCAUAGAAAUGUGGAUUAAUACCCCGUAAUAUAGCGGUGUGGCAUCMCACUGUUAUUAUAGUUUCGGCGAUUCGAGAUGGGUGUGCGGCUGAUUAGGUAGUUGGCGGGGUAAAGGCCCACCAAGCCUUCGAUCAGUAGCUGAUGUGAGAGCAUGAUCAGCCACACGGGCACUGAGACACGGGCCCGACUCCUACGGGAGGCAGCAGUAAGGAAUAUUGGUCAAUGGACGCAAGUCUGAACCAGCCAUGCCGCGUGAAGGAUGAAGGUCCUCUGGAUUGUAAACUUCUUUUAUAGGGGGCGAAAAAAGGUCUUUCUAGAUCACUUGACAGUACCCUAUGAAUAAGCACCGGCUAACUCCGUGCCAGCAGCCGCGGUAAUACGGAGGGUGCAAGCGUUAUCCGGAUUCACUGGGUUUAAAGGGUGCGUAGGCGGGUAGGUAAGUCAGAGGUGAAAUCCUGGAGCUUAACUCCAGAACUGCCUUUGAUACUAUCUAUCUUGAAUAUGGUGGAGGUAAGCGGAAUAUGUCAUGUAGCGGUGAAAAUGCAUAGAUAUGACAUAGAACACCUAUUGCGAARGCAGCUUACUACGCCUAUAUUGACGCUGAGGCACGAAAGCGUGGGGAUCAAAMAGGAUUAGAUACCCUGGUAGUCCACGCCCUAACGAUGAUUAMCUCGACGUAUGCGAUACACAGUAKGCGUCUGAGCGAAAGCAUAAGUAAUCCMCCUGGGARUACGACCGCAAGGUUGAAAACUCAAAGGAAUUKGCUGGGKGUCCGCAYARCGGGGGASCUGKGUGUUUAAUUUCAYRKAUACKSA